UUACACAGCCGAUGGGUAAUGCAACUGCCUGCGACGCAGAAGGUUCCGGGUUCGAUUCUCGGUAGGUAAC
Phthorimaea operculella (potato tuberworm) is the source of this 70-nucleotide non-coding RNA. The record is from the annotation of a GenBank genome assembly. Lineage: Eukaryota; Metazoa; Arthropoda; Insecta; Lepidoptera; Gelechiidae.